Molecule: ribosomal RNA, 132 nt
Filed under: Caenorhabditis latens
Lineage: Eukaryota; Metazoa; Nematoda; Chromadorea; Rhabditida; Rhabditidae
Description: partial 18S small subunit ribosomal RNA
Rfam family: Eukaryotic small subunit ribosomal RNA
Source: RNAcentral
AUCAGAGAUGGGGACGGUGGCUCCGAGGGUUUAACGACUUCGUUGUUGCGGAAACCAUUUUUAUCGCAUUGGUUUGAACCGGGUAAAAGUCGUAACAAGGUAGCUGUAGGUGAACCUGCAGCUGGAUCAUCG